AUUGAACGCUGGCGGCAGGCCUAACACAUGCAAGUCGAGCGGAUGAAGGGAGCUUGCUCCUGGAUUCAGCGGCGGACGGGUGAGUAAUGCCUAGGAAUCUGCCUGGUAGUUGUGGAUAACGUCCGGAAACGUGCGCUAAUACCUCAUACGUCCUGAGGGAGAAAUUGGGGGAUCUUCGGACCUCACUCUAUCAGAUGAGCCUAGGUCGGAUUAGCUAGUUGGUGGGGUAAAGGCCUACCAAGGCGACGAUCCGUAACUGGUCUGAGAGGAUGAUCAGUCACACUGGAACUGAGACACGGUCCAGACUCCUACGGGAGGCAGAAGUGGGGAAUAUUGGACAAUGGGCGAAAGCCUGCUCCAGCCCUGCCGCGUGUGUGAAGAAGGUCUUCGGAUUGUAAAGCACUUUAAGUUGGGAGGAAGGGCAGUAAGUUAAUACCUUGCUGUUUUGACGUUACCAACAGAAUAAGCACCGGCUAACUUCGUG
RNAcentral lists this ribosomal RNA (484 nucleotides) under uncultured bacterium. Its description in RNAcentral is "partial 16S ribosomal RNA". It matches the Rfam family "Bacterial small subunit ribosomal RNA", at positions 30 to 507 of the family's 1533-position model. The record is from RNAcentral.